GUCUUGUAGCGCAAUGGAUAGUGCAUUGGACUUCUAAUCCAAAGGUCGUGGGUUCGAAUCCCACCUGGGAUG
RNAcentral lists this transfer RNA (72 nucleotides) under Trichonephila inaurata madagascariensis. It matches the Rfam family "tRNA". Rfam says of the family: Transfer RNA (tRNA) molecules are approximately 80 nucleotides in length. Lineage: Eukaryota; Metazoa; Arthropoda; Arachnida; Araneae; Nephilidae. The record is from Rfam by way of RNAcentral.